This 253-nucleotide ribosomal RNA is filed under the name uncultured bacterium. RNAcentral's name for it is "partial 16S ribosomal RNA". It matches the Rfam family "Bacterial small subunit ribosomal RNA", at positions 524 to 776 of the family's 1533-position model. The record is from RNAcentral.
UACGAGGGGGGCGAGCGUUGUUCGGAAUUAUUGGGCGUAAAGGGUGCGUAGGCGGCCUGACAAGUCUGAUGUGAAAUCCCUGGGCUCAACCCAGGGCCUGCAUCGGAAACUGUCGGGCUUGAAUAUGGAAGAGGGUCGCGGAAUUCCCGGUGUAGCGGUGAAAUGCGCAGAUAUCGGGAGGAACACCGGUGGCGAAGGCGGUUCUCUGGGCCUUACCUGACACUGAGGAGCGAAAGCGUGGGGAGCGAACAGG